This 428-nucleotide ribosomal RNA is filed under the name uncultured prokaryote. RNAcentral's name for it is "bacterial SSU rRNA". It matches the Rfam family "Bacterial small subunit ribosomal RNA", at positions 355 to 774 of the family's 1533-position model. The record is from RNAcentral.
UAGGGAAUAUUGCGCAAUGGGCGAAAGCCUGACGCAGCAAUACCGCGUGAGUGAGGAAGGUCUUCGGAUUGUAAAACUCUGUCGGGAUGGAAAAAUGGCGUAGGAUCUAAUAGGUCUUACGAUUGAUGGUACAUCCAAAGGAAGCACCGGCUAACUUCGUGCCAGCAGCCGCGGUAAUACGAAGGGUGCAAGCGUUGUUCGGAUUUAUUGGGCGUAAAGCGCGCGCAGGCGGGUAAUUAAGUCAGAUGUGAAAUCUCAGGGCUCAACCCUGAAACUGCGUCUGAAACUGAUUAUCUAGAAUGUCGGAGAGGGAAGGGGAAUUUCACAUGUAGGGGUAAAAUCCGUAGAUAUGUGAAGGAAUACCAGAGGCGAAGGCGCCUUCCUGGACGAUGAUUGACGCUGAGGCGCGAAAGCGUGGGGAGCAAACA